RNAcentral lists this ribosomal RNA (465 nucleotides) under uncultured bacterium. RNAcentral's name for it is "partial 16S ribosomal RNA". It matches the Rfam family "Bacterial small subunit ribosomal RNA", at positions 28 to 507 of the family's 1533-position model. The record is from RNAcentral.
GACGAACGCUGGCGGCGUGCUUAACACAUGCAAGUCGAACGGAAAGGCCCCUUUGGGGGUACUCGAGUGGCGAACGGGUGAGUAACACGUGAGUAACCUGCCCUUGACUUCGGGAUAACUUCAGGAAACUGGGGCUAAUACCGGAUAGGAAUCCUUGCUGCAUGGUGGGGGUUGGAAAGCUUCGGCGGUUUUGGAUGGACUCGCGGCUUAUCAGCUUGUUGGUGGGGUAGUGGCUUACCAAGGCGUUGACGGGUAGCCGGCCUGAGAGGGCGACCGGCCACAUUGGGACUGAGAUACGGCCCAGACUCCUACGGGAGGCAGCAGUGGGGAAUAUUGCACAAUGGGCGGCAGCCUGAUGCAGCAACGCCGCGGGCGGGAUGACGGCCUUCGGGUUGUAAACCGCUUUCAGCAGGGGCGAAGCUUGUGGUGACGGUACCUGCAGAAGAAGCACCGGCUAACUACGUG